RNAcentral lists this ribosomal RNA (248 nucleotides) under uncultured bacterium. Its description in RNAcentral is "partial 16S ribosomal RNA". It matches the Rfam family "Bacterial small subunit ribosomal RNA", at positions 523 to 769 of the family's 1533-position model. The record is from RNAcentral.
AUACGGAGGGAGCUAGCGUUGUUCGGAAUUACUGGGCGUAAAGUCGCGCGUAGGCGGCUUUUUAAGUCAGAGGUGAAAGCCCGGGGCUCAACCCCGGAAUUGCCUUUGAAACUGGAAAGCUAGAAUCUUGGAGAGGUCAGUGGAAUUCCGAGUGUAGAGGUGAAAUUCGUAGAUAUUCGGAAGAACACCAGUGGCGAAGGCGACUGACUGGACAAGUAUUGACGCUGAGGUGCGAAAGCGUGGGGAGC